GCGAGGAUGGCGGAACUGGCAGACGCGCUGGGCUUAGAACCCAGUGGGUAACACCGUAGGGGUUCGACUCCCCUUCCUCGCA
This 82-nucleotide transfer RNA is filed under the name Chloroflexus aurantiacus. RNAcentral describes it as "tRNA-Leu". It matches the Rfam family "tRNA". Rfam says of the family: Transfer RNA (tRNA) molecules are approximately 80 nucleotides in length. Their secondary structure includes four short double-helical elements and three loops (D, anti-codon, and T loops). RNAcentral also lists the same sequence under 1 other name. Lineage: Bacteria; Bacillati; Chloroflexota; Chloroflexia; Chloroflexales; Chloroflexaceae. The record is from RNAcentral.